UACGGGAGGCAGCAGUGGGGAAUAUUGCACAAUGGGCGCAAGCCUGAUGCAGCCAUGCCGCGUGUAUGAAGAAGGCCUUCGGGUUGUAAAGUACUUUCAGUCGUGAGGAAGGUGUUAAGGUUAAUAACCUUAGCAAUUGACGUUAGCGACAGAAGAAGCACCGGCUAACUCCGUGCCAGCAGCCGCGGUAAUACGGAGGGUGCGAGCGUUAAUCGGAAUUACUGGGCGUAAAGGGCACGCAGGCGGUUAAUUAAGUUGGAUGUGAAAUCCCCGGGCUUAACCUGGGAAUGGCAUUCAAGACUGGUUAGCUAGAGUCUUGUAGAGGGGGUAGAAUUCCAUGUGUAGCGGUGAAAUGCGUAGAGAUGUGGAGGAAUACCGGUGGCGAAGGCGGCCCCUGGACAAAGACUGACGCUCAUGUGCGAAAGCGUGGGGAGC
RNAcentral lists this ribosomal RNA (435 nucleotides) under uncultured bacterium. RNAcentral's name for it is "bacterial SSU rRNA". It matches the Rfam family "Bacterial small subunit ribosomal RNA", at positions 340 to 769 of the family's 1533-position model. The record is from RNAcentral.